GGAAACGUGGCCGAGUGGCUGAAGGCACCGGAUUUGAAAUCCGGCGACGGGCAACUGUCCGUGAGUUCGAAUUUCACCGUUUCCGCCA
Molecule: transfer RNA, 88 nt
Filed under: Burkholderia cepacia
Lineage: Bacteria; Pseudomonadati; Pseudomonadota; Betaproteobacteria; Burkholderiales; Burkholderiaceae
Description: tRNA-Ser
Rfam family: tRNA
About the family: Transfer RNA (tRNA) molecules are approximately 80 nucleotides in length.
Source: RNAcentral